UUUUUUAUUUCAUGAUUUUUUUUUCACUAAAAUAAAGCAUUAAAUAAAUUUGUUUUAAAGUAAAAGAUGUUAACUAAACAUAUUUUUACUAAUAUUUAGUCAAACAAUUCUCUCAACUCAGAAGGUAAUUGUAAGAAACUAAUUUUAGACACUUCCACCAAUUCAAUCUGAUUAUGAUGAUUUUGAUGCUUAAAGGUCAACUUCUAUCUCCCCCUACCAAAAAAAAAAAAAAAAAAGAAGCAAAUUCCGAAGUCCCAAGCCGAAACAUGAUAGAGUAAAAGAUGAAAUAUAUCCAUCCUCAUAUAACACAUUAUUAUAAUGCGAUUAUAUAUAAAUGAAAAGAAAACCUAAGAAACGCUUGAAAGCACAAAAGAAGCAGACUAAGGGUCGAGCCUC
Molecule: long non-coding RNA, 396 nt
Filed under: Salvia miltiorrhiza (redroot sage)
Lineage: Eukaryota; Viridiplantae; Streptophyta; Magnoliopsida; Lamiales; Lamiaceae
Description: long non-coding RNA (SMIL_LNC003344)
Source: RNAcentral